GGGAGGUAAAUUUCUUCUAAAGCUAAAUACUGGCCAGAGACCGAUAGCGCACAAGUAGAGUGAUCGAAAGAUGAAAAGCACUUUGGAAAGAGAGUCAAAAAGCACGUGAAAUUGUUGAAAGGGAAGCGCUUGCAGCCAGACUUGCCUGCGGUUGCUCAUCCGGGCUCUUGCCCGGUGCACUCUUCCGUAGGCAGGCCAGCAUCAGUUUGGGCGGCUGGAUAAAGGCCUCUGUCAUGU
RNAcentral lists this ribosomal RNA (237 nucleotides) under Medicopsis romeroi. RNAcentral's name for it is "28S ribosomal RNA". It matches the Rfam family "Eukaryotic large subunit ribosomal RNA", at positions 294 to 537 of the family's 3401-position model. Lineage: Eukaryota; Fungi; Ascomycota; Dothideomycetes; Pleosporales; Neohendersoniaceae. The record is from RNAcentral.